CAAUAGCGUAUAUUCAAGUUGUUGCAGUUAAAAAGCUCGUAGUUGGAUUUCGGUUAAGAGCGACCGGUCCGCCGUUUGGUGUGCACUGGUUGGUUUUAACUUCCUGUAGAGGACGUGCUCUGGGUUUAACGACCUGGACUCGGAGUCUACGUGGUUACUUUGAAAAAAUUAGAGUGUUCAAAGCGGGCUUACGCUUGAAUAUUUCAGCAUGGAAUAACACUAUAGGACUCCUGUCCUAUUUCGUUGGUCUCGGGACGGGAGUAAUGAUUAAGAGGAACAGUUGGGGGCAUUCGUAUUUCAUUGUCAGAGGUGAAAUUCUUGGAUUUAUGAAAGGCGAACUUCUGCGAAAGCAUUUGCCAAGGAUGUUUUCAUUAA
This 375-nucleotide ribosomal RNA is filed under the name uncultured eukaryote. RNAcentral's name for it is "partial 18S ribosomal RNA". It matches the Rfam family "Eukaryotic small subunit ribosomal RNA", at positions 592 to 976 of the family's 1831-position model. The record is from RNAcentral.